This 1718-nucleotide ribosomal RNA is filed under the name human gut metagenome. RNAcentral's name for it is "bacterial LSU rRNA". The stretch from base 515 to 1718 matches the Rfam family "Bacterial large subunit ribosomal RNA", at positions 1 to 2429 of the family's 2925-position model. The record is from RNAcentral.
CAUGGUAUAUCAGUUUGUUCUGUGGCUGAAGAUGCCUUCAGAGGAUAUGAAAUUGUUCUCCGCUAUCGUAGUUGCCAUUUUCCUGGCAAUUCCUUACUUGAAGGAGAAGAGAACACUUCGGAAAGGAGCGUCAAAGUAAUGGCUUACGCAUUGGAGAUACAGGAUAUACAUAAAGUAUUUAACAGAGGAACCAUCAAUGAAAAGGUGGCAUUAAAUGGGGCACAUUUAAAUUUAAAUCCCGGGGAUUUCGUGACCAUCAUCGGAGGUAACGGCGCCGGUAUCCUUUUCCUGCCAGACGAACGGUUUUGCCUUCAUCAAUUCCUGCCGGGAUGUGCACUGCGAGUGUCUGCGGCUGUCUGCCGGAUGGAUCAGAAAUCGUAAUCUGCUUAUCACAUCCAAAGGCAGCAUCAUCAAACGAAAUGGUGAUCUCGGCACGCAAAUCCUCUCCUUUUCUUGCGCGAUUGCCAUAGCCUCUUGUUCCACCACCGAAACCGCUGGUGCGACCACCGUGAAAGGCUCCACCAAAAAGGUCGUCAAAAAUAUCGCCCAUGUCGCCCAUAUCGCCACCUUCAAAAUGGAAUUCCAUGCCAUCGCCAUUCCGAUAAAAGCCUUUUCCGCCGAAUCCCUGUCCAGAGAAUCCUCACGGCCGAAUAUCUAAGGUUUCCAGGGUAAAGCUGAUCUGCCCUGGGUUAGUCGGGGCCUAAGGCGAGGUCGAAAGACGUAGUCGAUGGAUAACAGGUUGAUAUUCCUGUACUACAAUAUAUCAGAACUGUGGGGACACAGACAGAAAGCCAGAGCCGGGAAUGGAAAGACCGGUACAAGCGAGGUAGGAGUAAGGCAGGCAAAUCCGCCUUACAAUCUGAAGACGUGAUGUGUAGCGAAGUUAUAAGUAGCGAAGCUGGUGAGCUGGCUGUCAGGAAAAGCCGCUAUUGUGUAUAUUGUACCCGUACCGUAAACCGACACAGGUGGAUGAGGAGAGAAUCCUAAGGCCGACGGGAGAAGCAUUGUUAAGGAACUCGGCAAAAUGACUCCGUAACUUCGGGAGAAGGAGUGCCAGUAAGAUGGCCGCAGAGAAUUGGCCCAAGCAACUGUUUAGCAAAAACACAGGUCUAUGCAAAACCGAAAGGUGAGGUAUAUGGGCUGACGCCUGCCCGGUGCUGGAAGGUUAAGAGGAGAGGUUAGCGCAAGCGAAGCUUUGAAUUUAAGCCCCAGUAAACGGCGGCCGUAACUAUAACGGUCCUAAGGUAGCGAAAUUCCUUGUCGGGUAAGUUCCGACCCGCACGAAAGGCGUAAUGAUUUGAGCGCUGUCUCGACAAUGCACCCGGUGAAAUUGAAAUACCAGUGAAGAUGCUGGUUACCUGCGCCAGGACGGAAAGACCCCAUGGAGCUUUACUCCAGCUUGAUACUGGGAUUCGGUAUUGCAUGUACAGGAUAGGUGGGAGGCUAGGAAAUGGUAACGCCAGUUGCCAUGGAGCCACUGUUGGGAUACCACCCUUGCAGUACUGGGUUUCUAACCAGCAGCCGUGAUCCGGCUGGGGGACAAUGUCAGGCGGGGAGUUUGACUGGGGCGGUCGCCUCCGAAAGGGUAUCGGAGGCGCUCAAAGGUUCCCUCAGAAUGGUUGGAAACCAUUCGAAGAGUGCAAAGGCAGAAGGGAGCUUGACUGCGACACCGACGGGUGGAGCAGGUACGAAAGUAGGACUUAGUGAUCCGGUGGUAU